UACGGAGGGGGCAAGCGUUAUUCGGAAUCAUUGGGCGUAAAGGGCGCGUAGGCGGCUAGAUGUGUCAAAGGUGAAAUCCCUCGGCUCAACUGGGCGGGGUCAGCGGAUACGGUGUGGCUGGAGCAAGCUAGGGGGCAAUGGAAUUCCCGGUGUAGUGGUGGAAUGCGUAGAUAUCUGGAGGAACACCGGUGGCGAAGGCGGCAUCCUGGACCGACACUGACGCUGAGGAGCGAAAGCCAGGGGAGCAAACGGG
This 253-nucleotide ribosomal RNA is filed under the name uncultured bacterium. RNAcentral's name for it is "partial 16S ribosomal RNA". It matches the Rfam family "Bacterial small subunit ribosomal RNA", at positions 524 to 776 of the family's 1533-position model. The record is from RNAcentral.